UAAGACUUUAAUCAAACAGUUGGCAUACAAUAAAAAUCCAGAUGUGAAAAGAAAGUUUGAGGGAGAAGAAUAAUAACUUUACUCAUCACAUAAUCCUAAAAUUUCUCACUACUGCAGUAUUUGUACUGACUCAUUCCUUCACGCAGUCCCUCCACAUGUUGUGCGGUUUGCGUGGCCUUGCUCCUGUGCGUAUGUCCAAUAUUUUCGCGUUAUUGUUAGCCACUUCUUUUCCGUGCGUAUUUUGUGGGA
This 249-nucleotide long non-coding RNA is filed under the name Lathyrus oleraceus (garden pea). RNAcentral's name for it is "Pisum sativum (pea) long non-coding RNA (PSAT_LNC012887)". Lineage: Eukaryota; Viridiplantae; Streptophyta; Magnoliopsida; Fabales; Fabaceae. The record is from RNAcentral.